GGAAAUUCCCUCUGAAACUGCCAGCCAUGAACUGUGUUUUCUGUUGAUCUUUUCCCUCUGAAUAUUGACAACAUUAUAAUGAGGAUUCAGCAAAGGGUUCCUAUUGCUGUGAUAAACAACAAUGUGACCACAAGCAAUAUGUGGGGUGAAGGAUUUGAAAAAGUGGGGUUAUCCCAGAAAGAGAAAUAAAGAGACGAAGAAAGAAAGGAAAGGAAGAAAGCAUGAACGGAAUGGAGGAGGAGAGACCAAUGUGGAAACAAAGAGCUUUCUUUGUCCCCAUUCAAGAUCAUGUGAAGGAAGGAGAAAACUGGCUUCCUGGAUUUGGAUUCUGACCUGCUAACAGCCUUCGUCCAACAGCUGGUGAACAUAGAAGCAGACACCCACAAGUAAUCACUGAAUUGAAUUGGAAUCCAGUCGCAGAGAAGGACGAGUGAAGGAGUGAAGAGCAAAGAGGUCCAGACCAGGCUGGUGAACCCACAGAAACAGCU
Cricetulus griseus (Chinese hamster) is the source of this 488-nucleotide non-coding RNA. The record is from RefSeq and is a predicted model, not a curated record. NCBI's taxonomy places the organism in Eukaryota, Metazoa, Chordata, Mammalia, Rodentia, Cricetidae.